AAACUUUUAGAGAAAAGAGAAAGC
This 24-nucleotide small nuclear RNA is filed under the name Arabidopsis thaliana (thale cress). RNAcentral's name for it is "snRNA_14666". Lineage: Eukaryota; Viridiplantae; Streptophyta; Magnoliopsida; Brassicales; Brassicaceae. The record is from RNAcentral.